RNAcentral lists this ribosomal RNA (484 nucleotides) under uncultured bacterium. RNAcentral's name for it is "partial 16S ribosomal RNA". It matches the Rfam family "Bacterial small subunit ribosomal RNA", at positions 30 to 507 of the family's 1533-position model. The record is from RNAcentral.
AUUGAACGCUGGCGGCGGGCCUAACACAUGCAAGUCGAGCGGAUGAAGGGAGCUUGCUCCUGGAUUCAGCGGCGGACGGGUGAGUAAUGCCUAGGAAUCUGCCUGGUAGUGGGGGAUAACGUCCGGAAACGGGCGCUAAUACCGCAUACGUCCUGAGGGAGAAAGUGGGGGAUCUUCGGACCUCACGCUAUCAGAUGAGCCUAGGUCGGAUUAGCUAGUUGGUGGGGUAAAGGCCUACCAAGGCGACGAUCCGUAACUGGUCUGAGAGGAUGAUCAGUCACACUGGAACUGAGACACGGUCCAGACUCCUACGGGAGGCAGCAGUGGGGAAUAUUGGACAAUGGGCGAAAGCCUGAUCCAGCCAUGCCGUGUGUGUGAAGAAGGUCUUCGGAUUGUAAAGCACUUUAAGUUGGGAGGAAGGGCAGUAAGUUAAUACCUUGCUGUUUUGACGUUACCAACAGAAUAAGCACCGGCUAACUUCGUG